This is a non-coding RNA of Phthorimaea operculella (potato tuberworm), 74 nucleotides long. NCBI's taxonomy places the organism in Eukaryota, Metazoa, Arthropoda, Insecta, Lepidoptera, Gelechiidae. The record is from the annotation of a GenBank genome assembly.
GCGCCCGUAGCUCAGUCGGUAGAGCGGUGGAACGGUCAUCCACAACGGGACGGGUUCAAGUCCCGGCGGUCGCU